GAAAAACCACUUGCUCAGCUUCUCCUUGUAAAUUCCUGGUGAGUGCCUCCAGGCCUACUGCUGUGCUGUUUCUUUUUCUUCUUCCUGCUGCGCUGAACCCCUGCCCUUUCAUUCUUGGGCCUGUGCUAAUUUCUGUGCAUUCCCAACUGUGAUUUUUCACCAAUUUGGGGGAACCUCCUCUGCCAGGUCCUGCUUCAUGCCAGCAGCGCUUGCAGGAGCCUGGGCUGGCUGGCAUCCCUGGGCUGAUGGGUGCUCCUCUCCCUGCAGGCUGGCCACUCAGUAUUCCUUGUCCCUGGCCUCGCAGCCCACCCGGGAAGCCACAGUGACCAGCCACCAGGUGUGCCAUCACGGAGGAAGUCCAGGUUGGAGAGGUGGUCUCCUUCUGUGAGCAGGUCCACCUCUCCCCCCACUGAGGCCCCUUUCUGCCUGUGACAGCCCCACCUCAAGGGCCAUGGCACAGCCAUCAGCUCCAGCUGCCAGCAUGCUACUGCCAUGCCCCGAGUGUCCAUCUGGGCCCCGGUUCAUGACCUGUUGUCUUUCUGUAUCUACUUUCUGCAGCCCCUCACUGAGGAGGCCUCCUGGGUUUGUCCAGUGCCUGCUAUUAAAGCUUUGCUCCAAGUUCAA
Long non-coding RNA from Homo sapiens (human), 624 nucleotides. NCBI's taxonomy places the organism in Eukaryota, Metazoa, Chordata, Mammalia, Primates, Hominidae. The record is from Ensembl.